Molecule: non-coding RNA, 85 nt
Organism: Bacillus cereus ATCC 10987
Lineage: Bacteria; Bacillati; Bacillota; Bacilli; Caryophanales; Bacillaceae
Source: Rfam
CAGCGAGAAAGGCAAACUGGUGGAAACAUUAGGACGCAAAACUACAGGAGCUAAGGCCGAAAGGCUACGCUAGCCAGUUACCGGA